RNAcentral lists this ribosomal RNA (253 nucleotides) under uncultured bacterium. Its description in RNAcentral is "partial 16S ribosomal RNA". It matches the Rfam family "Bacterial small subunit ribosomal RNA", at positions 524 to 776 of the family's 1533-position model. The record is from RNAcentral.
UACGGGGGGGGCAAGCGUUGUUCGGAAUUACUGGGCGUAAAGGGCUCGUAGGUGGCCAACUAAGUCAGACGUGAAAUCCCUCGGCUUAACCUGGGAACUGCAUUCGAGACUGCAUUGCUAGAGUAUGGGAGAGGGAAGUGGAAUUUCCGGUGUAGCGGUGAAAUGCGUAGAUAUCGGGAGGAACACCUGUGGCGAAAGCGGCGCACUGGACCAUAACUGACGCUGAGGCGCGAAAGCUAGGGGAGCAAACAGG